RNAcentral lists this ribosomal RNA (472 nucleotides) under uncultured bacterium. RNAcentral describes it as "bacterial SSU rRNA". It matches the Rfam family "Bacterial small subunit ribosomal RNA", at positions 28 to 500 of the family's 1533-position model. The record is from RNAcentral.
GAUGAACGCUGGCGGCGUGCCUAACACAUGCAAGUCGAGCGAAGCGCUGUUUUCAGAAUCUUCGGAGGAAGAGGACAGUGACUGAGCGGCGGACGGGUGAGUAACGCGUGGGCAACCUGCCUCAUACAGGGGGAUAACAGUUAGAAAUGACUGCUAAUACCGCAUAAGCGCACAGGACCGCAUGGUGUAGUGUGAAAAACUCCGGUGGUAUGAGAUGGACCCGCGUCUGAUUAGGUAGUUGGUGGGGUAAAGGCCUACCAAGCCGACGAUCAGUAGCCGACCUGAGAGGGUGACCGGCCACAUUGGGACUGAGACACGGCCCAAACUCCUACGGGAGGCAGCAGUGGGGAAUAUUGCACAAUGGGGGAAACCCUGAUGCAGCGACGCCGCGUGAAGGAAGAAGUAUUUCGGUAUGUAAACUUCUAUCAGCAGGGAAGAAAAUGACGGUACCUGAGUAAGAAGCACCGGCUAA